UACGGGGGGGGCAAGCGUUGUUCGGAAUUACUGGGCGUAAAGGGCUCGUAGGUGGCCAACUAAGUCAGACGUGAAAUCCCUCAGCUUAACUCUGGGGUCGCCUUUGAAACUGCCAAACUCGAGACUGGAAGAGGUAAGCGGAAUUCUCGGUGUAGUCGUAAUAAGCGUUGAUAUCGAGAAGAACACCAAAUGCGAAGGCAGCUUACUGGUACAGUCCUGACACUCAGGGACGAAAGCGUGGGGAGCAAACAGG
RNAcentral lists this ribosomal RNA (253 nucleotides) under uncultured bacterium. RNAcentral describes it as "partial 16S ribosomal RNA". It matches the Rfam family "Bacterial small subunit ribosomal RNA", at positions 524 to 776 of the family's 1533-position model. The record is from RNAcentral.